RNAcentral lists this ribosomal RNA (662 nucleotides) under uncultured Gammaproteobacteria bacterium. Its description in RNAcentral is "bacterial SSU rRNA". It matches the Rfam family "Bacterial small subunit ribosomal RNA", at positions 8 to 663 of the family's 1533-position model. Lineage: Bacteria; Pseudomonadati; Pseudomonadota; Gammaproteobacteria. The record is from RNAcentral.
AGAGUUUGAUCAUGGCUCAGAUUGAACGCUGGCGGCAGGCUUAACACAUGCAAGUCGAGCGGGAAUAGGUAGCUUGCUACUGAUUUCUAGCGGCGGACGGGUGAGUAAAGCUUAGGAAUCUGCCAUUUAGUGGGGGACAACAUUCCGAAAGGAAUGCUAAUACCGCAUACGUCCUACGGGAGAAAGCAGGGGAUCGUAAGACCUUGCGCUAAAUGAUGAGCCUAAGUCGGAUUAGCUAGUUGGUGGGGUAAAGGCCUACCAAGGCGACGAUCUGUAGCGGGUCUGAGAGGAUGAUCCGCCACACUGGGACUGAGACACGGCCCAGACUCCUACGGGAGGCAGCAGUGGGGAAUAUUGGACAAUGGGCGGAAGCCUGAUCCAGCCAUGCCGCGUGUGUGAAGAAGGCCUUUUGGUUGUAAAGCACUUUAAGCGAGGAGGAGGCUACUCUAGAUAAUACCUAGAGAUAGUGGACGUUACUCGCAGAAUAAGCACCGGCUAACUCUGUGCCAGCAGCCGCGGUAAUACAGAGGGUGCGAGCGUUAAUCGGAUUUACUGGGCGUAAAGCGUGCGUAGGCGGCUGAUUAAGUCGGAUGUGAAAUCCCUGAGCUUAACUUAGGAAUUGCAUUCGAUACUGGUCAGCUAGAGUAUGGGAGAGGAUGGUA